RNAcentral lists this ribosomal RNA (340 nucleotides) under uncultured bacterium. RNAcentral describes it as "bacterial SSU rRNA". It matches the Rfam family "Bacterial small subunit ribosomal RNA", at positions 43 to 386 of the family's 1533-position model. The record is from RNAcentral.
GAAUUCACUAGUGAUUCAGGCCUAACACAUGCAAGUCGAGCGAACCACUUCAAAAGAGAGCGGCGAACGGGUGAGUAACACGUAGGUGAUCUGCCCAUCAGACGGGGACAACGAUUGGAAACGAUCGCUAAUACCGGAUAGGACGAAAGUUUAAAGGUGCUUCUGGCACCGCUGAUGGAUGAGCCUGCGGCGCAUUAGCUAGUUGGUAGGGUAAAGGCCUACCAAGGCGACGAUGCGUAGCCGACCUGAGAGGGUGAACGGCCACACUGGGACUGAGACACGGCCCAGACUCCUACGGGAGGCAGCAGUAGGGAAUCUUCGGCAAUGGGCGAAAGCCUGA